ACGCUCGACACCUACGGGAGGCAGCAGUGAGGGAUAUUGGUCAAUGGGGGAAACCCUGAACCAGCAACGCCGCGUGAGGGAUGACGGUCUUCGGAUUGUAAACCUCUGUCCUCUGUGAAGAUAAUGACGGUAGCAGAGGAGGAAGCUCCGGCUAACUACGUGCCACAGCCGCGGUAAUCUGAGCGGGCUGGCAAGGC
RNAcentral lists this ribosomal RNA (197 nucleotides) under uncultured bacterium. RNAcentral describes it as "partial 16S ribosomal RNA". It matches the Rfam family "Bacterial small subunit ribosomal RNA", at positions 328 to 539 of the family's 1533-position model. The record is from RNAcentral.